UGACUUAGUGACUUGAAAAUGUUUAGGUGUAGGUACUUGAAAUGUGAACUUUUCAUUUUGAAUUAAGUUCAGUUUGCUAAUUUGCGAAGUGAAUUAGUGACUUGAAAAUAUUUAGGUGUUAGGUACUUGAAAUGUGAACUUUUCAUUUCGAAUUUAGUUUAGUUAGAUAAUUUGUGAAGUGACUUAGUGACUUGAAAUGUUUAAGUGUAGUUACUUGAAUUAUGGAUUAGUGACUUUUGUUUUGAAUUUAGGUACUUGAAAUGUGAACUUGCGUUUUGAUUUUAGU
Molecule: long non-coding RNA, 286 nt
Filed under: Capsicum annuum
Lineage: Eukaryota; Viridiplantae; Streptophyta; Magnoliopsida; Solanales; Solanaceae
Description: long non-coding RNA (CANN_LNC022471)
Source: RNAcentral